GUGUGCUCUUCCGAUCUAGGGCACUUACCCAUUGCAGUGAAGACAAAACUUUUAGAAAUGAAAUAAGUAAGAUAAAGAAGGUAGCUAUAGCACAUGGAUACAAUAAGAAAUUAAUAAAUAAGCUACUAACAGAAGAGAGAGGGAAGAAAGAAGGGAGCACUGCCAAGAAGAGCAAGAUCCAGAACAAUAAGGCCAUCAAAGAACAAGUGGGAAUGAAUAUACAGUGAUAUCAGAGAUAAUAGGUGAUUUUAGAACAAUAAAGAACAUAAUGAAAAAGAAAAAUAAAAGACCUGCAUACAAGAGACCGAGUACGAUAUUCAGUCUGCUGAAGAAUGUGAAAGACAAGUAUAACAAAGAAGCGAGAACAGGUAUAUAUGAUAUUCUCCUGAGAAACUUGGAUGAAGGGAUAGAUGAAGUGUGCUUAGGUGUGACAUCAAGGAAUUUGAAGAAUAGGAUAGCUGAGCACAGAAAAGACAUAGAAAAUGCAAACUCAAGAAUGGCCCUUGGCAAGAAAAGCAUACAAAAACAAUGUCAAUGUGAAAUUGACAGGAUAGUAAAAUAAUUAAAAGCAUUGUGAAGCUGGAAGAACUUCCCAUCAUGGAGAACAUACAGAUAUUUAAAAAGAGGCAGAACAUGAUAGUUAUCAAUAAUAAGCAAACAGAAGCUAUACAAAAGCCAUGGAAAUACCUGCUCAAAUGUUAACCCCAACCU
Molecule: long non-coding RNA, 711 nt
Filed under: Androctonus crassicauda
Lineage: Eukaryota; Metazoa; Arthropoda; Arachnida; Scorpiones; Buthidae
Source: RNAcentral